GGCGGAGUUGUAGCACACUCUAAGCGUAGUAGUUUUCCAUUGCCUCGCUUGCAGAGCGGCCUCAGCUGCCAGCCGUAAAGCCCUAUACUUCUAGUGGUUGACCUCGGAUUAGGUAGGAAUACCCGCUGAACUUAAGCAUA
RNAcentral lists this ribosomal RNA (140 nucleotides) under Annulohypoxylon bahnphadengense. RNAcentral's name for it is "partial 28S ribosomal RNA". The record is from RNAcentral. Lineage: Eukaryota; Fungi; Ascomycota; Sordariomycetes; Xylariales; Hypoxylaceae.